AAAAAAAACAUUACGUCCUUAAUUGAACGAAUGAAAAAAUGAAAGUUAUUUUGGAUAGUGUUAAUUUACGACUCUGAUAUUGAUGAUCUGGAUUUGAUCAAGUUGCAUCAAUGUGCAUCACGAAUCCAGGAUUCUCAAACUAAGAAAUUGAUCCUUUAUGGUGUAAAACUCUGUUCACAAGCAAAGGGAAGAAAUGGAGGAACAUGCGUACCGC
This is a long non-coding RNA of Nicrophorus vespilloides, 214 nucleotides long. RefSeq lists it as uncharacterized. The record is from RefSeq and is a predicted model, not a curated record. The transcript is spliced from 3 exons. NCBI's taxonomy places the organism in Eukaryota, Metazoa, Arthropoda, Insecta, Coleoptera, Silphidae.